CUCUUUUGCUAGCUUUAUGUGC
Molecule: non-coding RNA, 22 nt
Filed under: Arabidopsis thaliana (thale cress)
Lineage: Eukaryota; Viridiplantae; Streptophyta; Magnoliopsida; Brassicales; Brassicaceae
Source: RNAcentral